CUGUCAAUUAAUGCCUUCGAUUCGUCCAGCUAGACAGGCAUGACGGUGAUCUGCUUGCCAUCUCUGAAGUUUUGCAUGACCAAGCUCCCACGGCUUCUUUCCACUCGGAAUGGAAUACUUUCCGGUCCCUGAAGAUUUAAUUGUGAUCGGUGCUUGCCAACUACUCGGUGUACUUAAACUAUGCAUCGAGCUGGAUUUGAUGCUCUGACUUGGGAAAUCCAAUGGAAACAUGGUGGGGUAUGUUUUCUUGCUUCUACUAGAAUGUGGAGGCCCUGGAUGAUCCCAAUCCGUUUCACUCUUACAUCUGUUUGUAUUACUGAAGCUGUCUUUUGGUCCAACUGGAAUGUGGUGUGGAGGAUUCGGCCUGCUUUAGAUAAAUGUGAAAAAGUAAGUUUUGCUUAUUACCAGACUUGUGCUACAAGGGUUUUGAGUAAAUUGCAGAAACCAUCGAUAUUGAAGGCUAGGUAUGUAGACAUGAUUUGGAGUGUAGAUUCAUUCAUUUUGCUCCGUAUGUAGUCGUUAGUGAAAUCUCUAGAAAGACUUAUAUUUAGGAACGGAGGGGUGUAAGUCUUUAUGGAGAUUUCAUUAUGGAUUACGAGGGUGUUUGGUUGGGCUGUGGGUUGUGGAAAAGCUGCUGUGAGCUAUGGGUUGUGGAAAAGCUGCUGUGAGCUAUGGGUUGUGGAAAAGCUGCUGUGAGCAGUGUUGUCGUUUGAUAAAUUGGCUGUCUGAGCUGUGGCUUUUGAGUAAAUGUUUGGAAUACCCCUAAGAUGCUGAGACGGUAUAUAUGUCCUGAUAUCAUGGUAAUAAUCUGUUUUUUGACACGUUUCAUUUAUUUUUAGUUGAUGUAUGUAUUUUGGAGGUAAUUAAAAUGUGAUAAUUGCUAACAUUGUUCAUAUAUAACAUUAGUUGUUCA
Long non-coding RNA from Hordeum vulgare subsp. vulgare (domesticated barley), 913 nucleotides. RefSeq lists it as uncharacterized. The record is from RefSeq and is a predicted model, not a curated record. The transcript is spliced from 2 exons. NCBI's taxonomy places the organism in Eukaryota, Viridiplantae, Streptophyta, Magnoliopsida, Poales, Poaceae.